This 251-nucleotide ribosomal RNA is filed under the name uncultured prokaryote. Its description in RNAcentral is "partial 16S rRNA". It matches the Rfam family "Bacterial small subunit ribosomal RNA", at positions 525 to 775 of the family's 1533-position model. The record is from RNAcentral.
ACGUAGGGUGCGAGCGUUAAUCGGAAUUACUGGGCGUAAAGCGUGCGCAGGCGGUUUUGUAAGACAGAGGUGAAAUCCCCGGGCUCAACCUGGGAACUGCCAUUGUGACUGGAGGGCUGGAGUGCGGGAGAGGGGGGGGGAAUUCCGGGUGUAGCAGUGCCAUGCGUAGAUAUCCGGAGGAAUAGCAGUGGCGAAGGCAAACCACUGGGCAUUCACUGACGCUGAUGCGCGACAGCGUGGGGAGCAAACAG